GUUCCACUGAUGAAUCCCAAAUAGGACAAAACGUGCGUCCUGGAU
Molecule: non-coding RNA, 45 nt
Filed under: Schistosoma mattheei
Lineage: Eukaryota; Metazoa; Platyhelminthes; Trematoda; Strigeidida; Schistosomatidae
Source: RNAcentral